This 495-nucleotide ribosomal RNA is filed under the name uncultured bacterium. RNAcentral describes it as "partial 16S ribosomal RNA". It matches the Rfam family "Bacterial small subunit ribosomal RNA", at positions 28 to 507 of the family's 1533-position model. The record is from RNAcentral.
GAUGAACGCUGGCGGCGUGCCUAAUACAUGCAAGUAGAACGCUGAAGGAAGAGCUUUCUCUUCUGGAUGAGUUGCGAACGGGUGAGUAACGCGUAGGUAACCUGCCUGGUAGCGGGGGAGAACUAUUGGAAACGAUAGCUAAUACCGCAUGACAACAGUUAUUGCAUGAUAACUGUUUAAAAGGGGCAACUGCUCCACUACCAGAUGGACCUGCGUUGUAUUAGCUAGUUGGUGAGGUAACGGCUCACCAAGGCGACGAUACAUAGCCGACCUGAGAGGGUGGUCGGCCAACCCGGGAACUAGACCAGGGCCAAGCUUCUUAGGGAGGCAGCAGGAGGGGAUCUUCGGACAUUGACGGAAGUCCGAACGAGGCAAGCCGGGGGGGUGGAGGAGGGUCUCGGAUCGUAAAGCUCCGUUGUAAGAGAAGAACGAGAGUGAGAGUGGAAAGUUCACACUGUGACGGUAUCUUACCAGAAAGGGACGGCUAACUACGUG